This 102-nucleotide small nuclear RNA is filed under the name Peromyscus maniculatus bairdii (prairie deer mouse). Lineage: Eukaryota; Metazoa; Chordata; Mammalia; Rodentia; Cricetidae. The record is from RNAcentral.
UUGCUUCAGCAGCACGUUACUAAAAUUGGAACGAUACAGAGAAGAUUAGCAUGGCCCCUGUGCAAGCAUGACACCCAAAUUUGUGAAGCGUUCCAUAUUAAA